ACGUUAUACUUGGAUAACUGUGGUAAUUCUAGAGCUAAUACACGCAAUCGAGCUCCGAACUUCUGUGACGAGCGCAUUUAUUAGAACAAAACCAAUCGGGCUUCUGCCCGUAGUUUGUUGACUCUGAAUAACUCUGUUGAUCGCAUGGUCUCUGUACCGGCGACAUAUCUUUCAAGUGUCUGCCCUAUCAACUUUCGACGGUAG
This 204-nucleotide ribosomal RNA is filed under the name Diplopeltoides sp. 93L31C15. Its description in RNAcentral is "partial 18S ribosomal RNA". It matches the Rfam family "Eukaryotic small subunit ribosomal RNA", at positions 130 to 331 of the family's 1831-position model. The record is from RNAcentral. Lineage: Eukaryota; Metazoa; Nematoda; Chromadorea; Plectida; Diplopeltoididae.